UCUUAUCUGAGCUGAGAAAAAGGGUUUAUCGUUAGGGUUUUUGAUCUUCUCCGGCCAAAAAGCAACCCCAGUAUCCUUCCUUAUGGAAGGUAUGGUCGGCUGCUCCGGUUACGGGUUAGCUUCGAAUUGCCUAAUUGUUAUUUGCCCUUUGUUUUCUGCGAUGAAGACUGCUUGCUGCCUGAGCGUACGAUUUACUCGGCGCUGUGAUGGCUAAUGCGAGCUUUAUCAACCCCAACAAUACAUAUGUGUUUUUUAAAGUUUUUAGAUUUGAUUUCAAGGUUUCUUCUUCUCCUUUUUUGUUUUGUUUUUGGUCCGUCCCAUUGAUGAUCCGAAUCUGUGGAUUCUGGUAUAUUAAGUUUUCAAAACUUCUUCAUUGCUGUUUUUUUCAAUCUCGAUUUGAGGAAAAAAAACAAAAAUUCUUUUUUCCCACCGUUUUGUUCUUACCAGCCAGAUGAUUACAAAUACUUGUUGUUCCUAAUUAACUUGUAAUUUGUAAUUCUUUGUAGCCUGCAAUACAGAGUACAUAGUCUAUUGCUUCUGUUUAUAGUUUCCUAAACACUCUCAGAGGUUAAAACAACGAUUAGAUGCAAGUAAAGAGUUAUAUAGAAGAACCUAAUAAAAUAAAGUCAUGUUGGAUUCUAGGAAGAUAAGAAGCUUAUAUUCAGACAGCAGCUGAUUUUUUCCCAUCUCUGACUUCUUCUCUUAAUGUGUCUUCUUUGAUUGUUGUUGUUGCAAG
Molecule: long non-coding RNA, 736 nt
Filed under: Capsella grandiflora
Lineage: Eukaryota; Viridiplantae; Streptophyta; Magnoliopsida; Brassicales; Brassicaceae
Description: long non-coding RNA (CGRA_LNC001739)
Source: RNAcentral